GCAAGUCGAACGGCAGCGGGGACUUCGGUCCGCCGGCGAGUGGCGAACGGGUGAGUAAAGUAUCGGAACGUACCUUUCAGUGGGGGAUAACGUAGCGAAAGUUACGCUAAUACCGCAUAUUCUGUGAGCAGGAAAGCAGGGGAUCGCAAGACCUUGCGCUGAUUGAGCGGCCGAUAUCAGAUUAGCUAGUUGGUGAGGUAAAGGCUCACCAAGGCGACGAUCUGUAGCGGGUCUGAGAGGAUGAUCCGCCACACUGGAACUGAGACACGGUCCAGACUCCUACGGGAGGCAGCAGUGGGGAAUUUUGGACAAUGGGGGCAACCCUGAUCCAGCCAUGCCGCGUGAGUGAAGAAGGCCUUCGGGUUGUAAAGCUCUUUCGGCCGGGAAGAAAUCGUAUGGGUUAAUACCCUGUGCGGAUGACGGUACCGGCAUAAGAAGCACCGGCUAACUACGUGCCAGCAGCC
RNAcentral lists this ribosomal RNA (464 nucleotides) under uncultured bacterium. RNAcentral's name for it is "bacterial SSU rRNA". It matches the Rfam family "Bacterial small subunit ribosomal RNA", at positions 57 to 516 of the family's 1533-position model. The record is from RNAcentral.